GACCACGAUCCAACCCUAAAUACUAAUACCAGAUCGAUAGUGCACAAGUACCGUGAGGGAAAGGUGAAAAGAACUGAGGUGAUCAGAGUGAAAUAGAACCUGAAACCAUUUGCUUACAAUCAUUCAGAGCACUAUGUAGCAAUACAGUGUGAUGGACUGCCUUUUGCAUAAUGAGCCUGCGAGUUGUGGUGUCUGGCAAGGUUAAGCAAACGCGAAGCCGUAGCGAAAGCGAGUCUGAAUAGGGCGCUUAGUCAGAUGCUGCAGACCCGAAACGAAGUGAUCUAUCCAUGAGCAAGUUGAAGCUAGUGUAAGAACUAGUGGAGGACUGAACCCAUAGGCGUUGAAAAGCCCCGGGAUGACUUGUGGAUAGGGGUGAAAGGCCAAUCAAACUUCGUGAUAGCUGGUUCUCUCCGAAAUAUAUUUAGGUAUAGCGUUGUGUCGUAAUAUAAGGGGGUAGAGCACUGAAUGGGCUAGGGCAUACACCAAUGUACCAAACCCUAUCAAACUCCGAAUACCUUAUAUGUAAUCACAGCAGUCAGGCGGCGAGUGAUAAAAUCCGUCGUCAAGAGGGAAACAACCCAGACUACCAGCUAAGGUCCCUAAAUCUUACUUAAGUGGAAAACGAUGUGAAGUUACUUAAACAACCAGGAGGUUGGCUUAGAAGCAGCCAUCCUUUAAAGAAAGCGUAAUAGCUCACUGGUCUAGUGAUUUUGCGCGGAAAAUAUAACGGGGCUAAAGUAAGUACCGAAGCUGUAGACUUGCACACAA
This 768-nucleotide ribosomal RNA is filed under the name Campylobacter jejuni. RNAcentral's name for it is "partial 23S ribosomal RNA". It matches the Rfam family "Bacterial large subunit ribosomal RNA", at positions 451 to 1217 of the family's 2925-position model. Lineage: Bacteria; Pseudomonadati; Campylobacterota; Epsilonproteobacteria; Campylobacterales; Campylobacteraceae. The record is from RNAcentral.